Molecule: ribosomal RNA, 118 nt
Filed under: Pteropus alecto (black flying fox)
Lineage: Eukaryota; Metazoa; Chordata; Mammalia; Chiroptera; Pteropodidae
Source: RNAcentral
GUCUAUAGCCAUGCUACCUUGAACAAGCCUGAUCCUGCUGAUCUCGAAAGCUAAGCAGGGUUGGGCCUGGUUAGUACUUGGAUGGGAGACCACGUAGGAAGACCAGGUGCUGUAGGCG